UAAGGCAUGCCAACCUGGAUGCACUUGGCCGUGUCUGAUCUCAGAAGCUAAGCAGGGAUGGGCCUGGUUCGUACCUGGAUGAGCGAAAUGACAGCUCAAGUGGACGUUUGAUUUGAAGCCUGGCUAAGCCAGAC
This 134-nucleotide ribosomal RNA is filed under the name Jaculus jaculus (lesser Egyptian jerboa). Lineage: Eukaryota; Metazoa; Chordata; Mammalia; Rodentia; Dipodidae. The record is from RNAcentral.